AUUCCAGCUCCAAUAGCGUAUAUUAAAGUUGUUGCAGUUAAAAAGCUCGUAGUUGGAUUUGUGGCAGUCGCGUGCGGCCCGGCAUUCGUGCCGGUGCUUGCUAGCGUCGCCAUCCUUGGGUGGAACCUGUGUGGCAUUAGGUUGUCGUGCAGGGGAUGCCCAUCGUUUACUGUGAAAAAAUUAGAGUGUUCAAAGCAGGCUUAUGCCGUUGAAUAUAUUAGCAUGGAAUAAUAAGAUAGGACCUUGGUACUAUUUUGUUGGUUUGCGCACCAAGGUAAUGAUUAAUAGGGACAGUUGGGGGUAUUCGUAUUUCAUUGUCAGAGGUGAAAUUCUUGGAUUUUUGAAAGACGAACUACUGCGAAAGCAUUUACCAAGGAUGUUUUCAUCA
This 388-nucleotide ribosomal RNA is filed under the name Nitzschia sp. (in: diatoms). RNAcentral's name for it is "Nitzschia sp. (in: Bacillariophyta) partial small subunit ribosomal RNA". It matches the Rfam family "Eukaryotic small subunit ribosomal RNA", at positions 582 to 975 of the family's 1831-position model. The record is from RNAcentral. Lineage: Eukaryota; Bacillariophyta; Bacillariophyceae; Bacillariales; Bacillariaceae.